CAUGCAAGUCGAGGGGCAGCAUGGUCUUAGCUUGCUAAGGCCGAUGGCGACCGGCGCACGGGUGAGUAACGCGUAUCCAACCUGCCUUACACUCUUGGACAGCCUUCUGAAAGGGAGAUUAAUACAAGAUGUUAUCAUGAGUAAGCAUUUUCGCAUGAUUAAAGGUUUACCGGUGUAAGAUGGGGAUGCGUUCCAUUAGAUAGUAGGCGGGGUAACGGCCCACCUAGUCUUCGAUGGAUAGGGGUUCUGAGAGGAAGGUCCCCCACAUUGGAACUGAGACACGGUCCAAACUCCUACGGGAGGCAGCAGUGAGGAAUAUUGGUCAAUGGACGAGAGUCUGAACCAGCCAAGUAGCGUGAAGGAUGAAGGUUCUAUGGAUUGUAAACUUCUUUUAUACGGGAAUAAACGGAUCCACGUGUGGAUUUUUGCAUGUACCGUAUGAAUAAGGAUCGGCUAACUCCGUGCCAGCAGCCGCGGUAAUACGGAGGAUCCGAGCGUUAUCCGGAUUUAUUGGGUUUAAAGGGAGCGUAGAUGGGUUGUUAAGUCAGUUGUGAAAGUUUGCGGCUCAACCGUAAAAUUGCAGUUGAUACUGGGUGUCUUGAGUACAGUAGAGGCAGGCGGAAUUCGUGGUGUAGCGGUGAAAUGCUUAGAUAUCACGAAGAACUCCGAUUGCGUAGGCAGCCUGCUGGACUGUAACUGACGCUGAUGCUCGAAAGUGUGGGUAUCAAACAGGAUUAGAUACCCUGGUAGUCCACACAGUAAACGAUGAAUACUCGCUGUUUGCGAUAUACAGUAAGCGGCC
RNAcentral lists this ribosomal RNA (802 nucleotides) under uncultured bacterium. Its description in RNAcentral is "bacterial SSU rRNA". It matches the Rfam family "Bacterial small subunit ribosomal RNA", at positions 54 to 848 of the family's 1533-position model. The record is from RNAcentral.